This 758-nucleotide ribosomal RNA is filed under the name uncultured Actinomyces sp. RNAcentral describes it as "bacterial SSU rRNA". It matches the Rfam family "Bacterial small subunit ribosomal RNA", at positions 28 to 776 of the family's 1533-position model. Lineage: Bacteria; Bacillati; Actinomycetota; Actinomycetes; Actinomycetales; Actinomycetaceae. The record is from RNAcentral.
GACGAACGCUGGCGGCGUGCUUAACACAUGCAAGUCGAACGCUGAAGGCCCAGCUUGCUGGGUUGGAUGAGUGGCGAACGGGUGAGUAACACGUGAGUAACCUGCCCCCUUCUUUGGGAUAACGGUCGGAAACGGCUGCUAAUACCGGGUAUUCACUGUCCUUCGCAUGGGGGGUGGUGGAAAGGUUUUUUCUGGUGGGGGAUGGGCUCGCGGCCUAUCAGCUUGUUGGUGGGGUGAUGGCUUACCAAGGCUUUGACGGGUAACCGGCCUGAGAGGGUGACCGGUCACAUUGGGACUGAGAUACGGCCCAGACUCCUACGGGAGGCAGCAGUGGGGAAUAUUGCACAAUGGGCGAAAGCCUGAUGCAGCGACGCCGCGUGAGGGAUGGAGGCCUUCGGGUUGUAAACCUCUUUCGCUCAUGGUCAAGCCGCAGCUUUGGGUUGUGGUGAGGGUAGUGGGUAAAGAAGCACCGGCUAACUACGUGCCAGCAGCCGCGGUAAUACGUAGGGUGCGAGCGUUGUCCGGAAUUAUUGGGCGUAAAGGGCUUGUAGGCGGUUUGUCGCGUCUGCCGUGAAAUCCUCUGGCUUAACUGGGGGGCGUGCGGUGGGUACGGGCAGGCUUGAGUGCGGUAGGGGAGACUGGAACUCCUGGGUGUACCGGUGGAAUGCGCAGAUAUCAGGAAGAACACCGGGUGGGCGAAGGCGGGUCUCUGGGCCGUUUACUGACGCUGAGGAGCGAAAGCGUGGGGAGCGAACAGG